Molecule: ribosomal RNA, 302 nt
Filed under: uncultured bacterium
Lineage: Bacteria
Description: partial 16S ribosomal RNA
Rfam family: Bacterial small subunit ribosomal RNA
Source: RNAcentral
GCAGUAGCCGCGGGAAUACGGAGGGUGCAAGCGUUAUCCGGAAUCAUUGGGUUUAAAGGGUCCGUAGGCGGUCUUGUAAGUCAGUGGUGAAAGCCCAUCGCUCAACGGUGGAACGGCCAUUGAUACUGCAGGACUUGAAUUAUUGGGAAGUAACUAGAAUAUGUAGUGUAGCGGUGAAAUGCUUAGAGAUUACAUGGAAUACCAAUUGCGAAGGCAGGUUACUACCAAUUGAUUGACGCUGAUGGACGAAAGCGUGGGUAGCGAACAGGAUUAGAUACCCCCGUAGUCCCUGUCUCUUAUAA